RNAcentral lists this ribosomal RNA (1019 nucleotides) under uncultured bacterium. Its description in RNAcentral is "bacterial SSU rRNA". It matches the Rfam family "Bacterial small subunit ribosomal RNA", at positions 355 to 1375 of the family's 1533-position model. The record is from RNAcentral.
UGAGGAAUAUUGGUCAAUGGGCGCUAGCCUGAACCAGCCAAGUAGCGUGAAGGAUGAAGGCUCUAUGGGUCGUAAACUUCUUUUAUAUAAGAAUAAAGUGCAGUAUGUAUACUGUUUUGUAUGUAUUAUAUGAAUAAGGAUCGGCUAACUCCGUGCCAGCAGCCGCGGUAAUACGGAGGAUCCGAGCGUUAUCCGGAUUUAUUGGGUUUAAAGGGAGCGUAGGUGGACUGGUAAGUCAGUUGUGAAAGUUUGCGGCUCAGCCGUAAAAUUGCAGUUGAUACUGUCAGUCUUGAGUACAGUAGAGGUGGGCGGAAUUCGUGGUGUAGCGGUGAAAUGCUUAGAUAUCACGAAGAACUCCGAUUGCGAAGGCAGCUCACUGGACUGCAACUGACACUGAUGCUCGAAAGUGUGGGUAUCAAACAGGAUUAGAUACCCUGGUAGUCCACACAGUAAACGAUGAAUACUCGCUGUUUGCGAUAUACAGUAAGCGGCCAAGCGAAAGCAUUAAGUAUUCCACCUGGGGAGUACGCCGGCAACGGUGAAACUCAAAGGAAUUGACGGGGGCCCGCACAAGCGGAGGAACAUGUGGUUUAAUUCGAUGAUACGCGAGGAACCUUACCCGGGCUUAAAUUGCAGUGGAAUGAUGUGGAAACAUGUCAGUGAGCAAUCACCGCUGUGAAGGUGCUGCAUGGUUGUCGUCAGCUCGUGCCGUGAGGUGUCGGCUUAAGUGCCAUAACGAGCGCAACCCUUAUCUUUAGUUACUAACAGGUUAUGCUGAGGACUCUAGAGAGACUGCCGUCGUAAGAUGUGAGGAAGGUGGGGAUGACGUCAAAUCAGCACGGCCCUUACGUCCGGGGCUACACACGUGUUACAAUGGGGGGUACAGAAGGCAGCUAGCGGGUGACCGUAUGCUAAUCCCAAAAUCCUCUCUCAGUUCGGAUCGAAGUCUGCAACCCGACUUCGUGAAGCUGGAUUCGCUAGUAAUCGCGCAUCAGCCACGGCGCGGUGAAUACGUUCCC